UAUUUAAGCACAAAAGGUUGGUGCUAACUCUGUCAUUGCCUAUCUCUAUAUCCCCUGCUUCUAGUGCUCUUCCUUGUCACCCAACUUGGUGUGGUGUAUGCUAUUCAUCAUCAUCAUCUAAGAUGCUGAGAAAACUCAUGAGGCUGCUACUGCUGCUGAUGUUCUUUCUGUGUUUCUCAUAUGUUCUCUCUGUCUCUGCUAUUCCUGCAACAAGAACCCAAAAUUUGAAAGGCGAAGAAGAAGAAUUUUCAGCCCUGCCUUCUUUAACUAGGUUGGAUCAUGUGGUUGGAAAUGGUGAGGUGGUGCUCGUUGACAUGAAUGAAGGAUUCAUGGAGAGGAGGGUCGAUUUGGAAACCCAAGACUAUGAAGGGACUGGUGCAAAUAAAGAUCAUGAUCCAAAAUCCCCAGGAGGGGCUUAAUUAACCUUAAUCCCAAAAACGACAAAGUGUUUUAAGUUAGUUGCACCCGAAAAUGUAAUAGAGGAUCUAUAUGUAUCUAUUUUUAUAUAUUUGGUCUUCUCUUGUAAAAUCAAAGAUACGGUUUGCUUUCCUUUACUUUAUUUAUAUAUUUCUGUUUGCUUGUUCAAAUUGUCUGGUGGUGUUGUUCAAAAGUCAUAACAUUAUAGUCUCAUAUAUAUGUAACAACUGGUAUAUUUUUCUCUCUUCCUUCACUGUCAUUUUGUUCAAUAAUAUUAAUUUAUUAUUUUUUUUC
This is a long non-coding RNA of Glycine soja, 711 nucleotides long. RefSeq lists it as uncharacterized. Lineage: Eukaryota; Viridiplantae; Streptophyta; Magnoliopsida; Fabales; Fabaceae. The transcript is spliced from 3 exons. The record is from RefSeq and is a predicted model, not a curated record.